This 211-nucleotide ribosomal RNA is filed under the name uncultured bacterium. RNAcentral's name for it is "partial 16S ribosomal RNA". It matches the Rfam family "Bacterial small subunit ribosomal RNA", at positions 524 to 732 of the family's 1533-position model. The record is from RNAcentral.
UACGAGAGGUCCAAACGUUAUUCGGAAUUACUGGGCUUACAGAGUUCGUAGGCGGCUCUACAAGUGAGGUGUGAAAGCCCUCGGCUCAACCGAGGAACUGCGCUUCAAACUGUAGAACUAGAGGGAGAUAGAGGUGAGCAGAACUGAUGGUGGAGCGGUGAAAUGCGUUGAUAUCAUCAGGAAUGACCGGAGGCGAAGGCGGGCUCACUGG